RNAcentral lists this long non-coding RNA (2307 nucleotides) under Citrus sinensis (sweet orange). RNAcentral's name for it is "long non-coding RNA (CSIN_LNC000470)". The record is from RNAcentral. Lineage: Eukaryota; Viridiplantae; Streptophyta; Magnoliopsida; Sapindales; Rutaceae.
GUGGAAUGGCCUUCUCUCCUACUUCAUCACCCGGAUACAGCCCAUCAUCACCAGGCUACAGUCCGUCAUCUCCUGGAUACAGUCCCACGUCACCUGGAUACAGCCCAACUUCGCCUGGAUACAGUCCCACCUCGCCUGGAUAUAGCCCUACCUCACCAACUUAUAGUCCAAGUUCUCCUGGUUAUAGUCCAACCAGUCCUGCCUAUUCUCCUACCAGUCCAUCGUACUCACCUACUUCACCAAGCUAUAGCCCAACCUCCCCAAGUUACAGCCCAACAUCCCCAAGCUACAGCCCGACCUCUCCAAGUUACAGCCCCACUUCUCCCAGUUACAGUCCAACUUCACCAAGCUAUAGCCCCACCUCACCGGCAUAUAGCCCCACCUCACCUGCAUAUAGCCCCACCUCACCUGCAUACAGCCCCACUUCACCAUCGUACAGCCCAACCUCUCCUUCCUACAGCCCAACAUCACCUUCGUACAGCCCUACCUCACCGUCAUACAGCCCCACUUCUCCAUCGUACAGCCCCACUUCACCAGCCUAUAGCCCCACUUCUCCUGGUUAUAGUCCAACUUCACCAAGUUAUAGCCCAACUUCACCAACCUAUAGUCCUACAUCCCCAAGCUACAAUCCUCAGUCUGCCAAAUACAGUCCGUCGCUGGCCUACUCACCAAGUAGUCCAAGAUUAUCUCCUGCCAGUCCGUACAGCCCUACAUCUCCAAAUUACAGGUAAGCCAUAGUGCGAUAUGUGGUCAAGUCUAAUGUUUGUGUUAAAAGCUGUAUCCAAUUUAUUAGGUCUUGUUUUUGAUAGAAUUCUAUAUACUGAAAUAUCUGUUGAACCUAAGACUUGCUGUAGCUGGGGAUUGGACUUGGAUGGGUUUAAAUUAUUAAUGAUUUUAUCUCUGUUGUUUUUAACAUUAUUAUAUCUGGAUGAUUAUGUUGAUGUAUCUUGUAAGCAACUUUUCUUUUUACGCAGUCCAACAUCAUCUUCGUAUUCACCGACAUCUCCCUCUAUGAUACUGGACCAAUGAUGAGAUGUUCAUUUGAAGAAACGGUUGACAUUCUUCUUGAUGCUGCAGUCUUUGCAGAAUCAGAUUAUUUGAGGGGGGUCACUGAGAAUAUAAUGUUAGGUCAGCUUGCGCCUAUUGGGACAGGAGACUGUUCAUUGUAUCUCAAUGAUGAGAUGCUGAAAAAUGCCAUCGAACUUCAGCUUCCUAGUUAUAUGGAAGGUCUGGAGUUUGGCAUGACACCUGCUCGUUCUCCGGUGUCUGGGACUCCUUAUCAUGAUGGCAUGAUGUCUCCAGGUUACUUGUUUAGCCCAAAUCUCCGUCUGUCCCCGGUCACGGAUGCCCAGUUUUCUCCUUAUGUUGGUGGAAUGGCCUUCUCUCCUACUUCAUCACCCGGAUACAGCCCAUCAUCACCAGGCUACAGUCCGUCAUCUCCUGGAUACAGUCCCACGUCACCUGGAUACAGCCCAACUUCGCCUGGAUACAGUCCCACCUCGCCUGGAUAUAGCCCUACCUCACCAACUUAUAGUCCAAGUUCUCCUGGUUAUAGUCCAACCAGUCCUGCCUAUUCUCCUACCAGUCCAUCGUACUCACCUACUUCACCAAGCUAUAGCCCAACCUCCCCAAGUUACAGCCCAACAUCCCCAAGCUACAGCCCGACCUCUCCAAGUUACAGCCCCACUUCUCCCAGUUACAGUCCAACUUCACCAAGCUAUAGCCCCACCUCACCGGCAUAUAGCCCCACCUCACCUGCAUAUAGCCCCACCUCACCUGCAUACAGCCCCACUUCACCAUCGUACAGCCCAACCUCUCCUUCCUACAGCCCAACAUCACCUUCGUACAGCCCUACCUCACCGUCAUACAGCCCCACUUCUCCAUCGUACAGCCCCACUUCACCAGCCUAUAGCCCCACUUCUCCUGGUUAUAGUCCAACUUCACCAAGUUAUAGCCCAACUUCACCAACCUAUAGUCCUACAUCCCCAAGCUACAAUCCUCAGUCUGCCAAAUACAGUCCGUCGCUGGCCUACUCACCAAGUAGUCCAAGAUUAUCUCCUGCCAGUCCGUACAGCCCUACAUCUCCAAAUUACAGGUAAGCCAUAGUGCGAUAUGUGGUCAAGUCUAAUGUUUGUGUUAAAAGCUGUAUCCAAUUUAUUAGGUCUUGUUUUUGAUAGAAUUCUAUAUACUGAAAUAUCUGUUGAACCUAAGACUUGCUGUAGCUGGGGAUUGGACUUGGAUGGGUUUAAAUUAUUAAUGAUUUUAUCUCUGUUGUUUUUAACAUUAUUAUAUCUGGAUGAUUAUGUU